AUUGAACGCUGGCGGCAGGCCUAACACAUGCAAGUCGAGCGGAUGAAGGGAGCUUGCUCCUGGAUUCAGCGGCGGACGGGCGAGUAAUGCCUAGGAAUCUGCCUGGUAGUGGGGGAUAACGUCCGGAAACGGGCGCUAAUACCGCAUACGUCCUGAGGGAGAAAGUGGGGGAUCUUCGGACCUCACGCUAUCAGAUGAGCCUAGGUCGGAUUAGCUAGUUGGUGGGGUAAAGGCCUACCAAGGCGACGAUCCGUAACUGGUCUGAGAGGAUGAUCAGUCAAACUGAAACUGAGAAAGGUCCAGACUCCUACGGGAGGCAGCAGUGGGGAAUAUUGGACAAUGGGCGAAAGCCUGAUCCAGCCAUGCCGCGUGUGUGAAGAAGGUCUUCGGAUUGUAAAGCACUUUAAGUUGGGAGGAAGGGCAGUAAGUUAAUACCUUGCUGUUUUGACGUUACCAACAGAAUAAGCACCGGCUAACUUCGUG
RNAcentral lists this ribosomal RNA (483 nucleotides) under uncultured bacterium. RNAcentral's name for it is "partial 16S ribosomal RNA". It matches the Rfam family "Bacterial small subunit ribosomal RNA", at positions 30 to 507 of the family's 1533-position model. The record is from RNAcentral.